Molecule: ribosomal RNA, 497 nt
Filed under: uncultured bacterium
Lineage: Bacteria
Description: partial 16S ribosomal RNA
Rfam family: Bacterial small subunit ribosomal RNA
Source: RNAcentral
GACGAACGCUGGCGGCGUGCCUAAUACAUGCAAGUUGAGCGCUGAAGGUUGGUACUUGUACCAACUGGAUGAGCAGCGCACGGGUGAGUAACGCGUGGGGAAUCUGCCUUUGAGCGGGGGACAACAUUUGGAAACGAAUGCUAAUACCGCAUAAAAACUUUAAACACAAGUUUUAAGUUUGAAAGAUGCAAUUGCAUCACUCAAAGAUGAUCCCGCGUUGUAUUAGCUAGUUGGUGAGGUAAAGGCUCACCAAGGCGAUGAUACAUAGCCGACCUGAGAGGGUGAUCGGCCACAUUGGGACUGAGACACGGCCCAAACUGAUACGGGAGGCAGCAGGAGGGAAUCGGGGGCAAGGGACGAAAGACUGACCGAGCAACGCCGCGUGAGUGAAGAAGGAUUUCGGAUGGUAAAACUCUGUUGGUAGAGAAGAACGUGGGUGAGAGUGGAAAGCUCAUCAAGUGACGGUAACUACCCAGAAAGGGACGGCUAACUACGUG